UUUAUGGAGAGUUUGAUCCUGGCUCAGAGUGAACGCUGGCGGCGUGCCUAAUACAUGCAAGUCGAACGAUGAAGCUUCUAGCUUGCUAGAAUGCUGAUUAGUGGCGCACGGGUGAGUAACGCAUAGGUUAUGUGCCUCUUAGUUUGGGAUAGCCAUUGGAAACGAUGAUUAAUACCAGAUACUCCCUACGGGGGAAAGAUUUAUCGCUAAGAGAUCAGCCUAUGUCCUAUCAGCUUGUUGGUAAGGUAAUGGCUUACCAAGGCUAUGACGGGUAUCCGGCCUGAGAGGGUGAACGGACACACUGGAACUGAGACACGGUCCAGACUCCUACGGGAGGCAGCAGUAGGGAAUAUUGCUCAAUGGGGGAAACCCUGAAGCAGCAACGCCGCGUGGAGGAUGAAGGUUUUAGGAUUGUAAACUCCUUUUGUUAGAGAAGAUAAUGACGGUAUCUAACGAAUAAGCACCGGCUAACUCCGUGCCAGCAGCCGCGGUAAUACGGAGGGUGCAAGCGUUACUCGGAAUCACUGGGCGUAAAGAGCGCGUAGGCGGGAUAGUCAGUCAGGUGUGAAAUCCUAUGGCUUAACCAUAGAACUGCAUUUGAAACUACUAUUCUAGAGUGUGGGAGAGGUAGGUGGAAUUCUUGGUGUAGGGGUAAAAUCCGUAGAGAUCAAGAGGAAUACUCAUUGCGAAGGCGACCUGCUGGAACAUUACUGACGCUGAUUGCGCGAAAGCGUGGGGAGCAAACAGGAUUAGAUACCCUGGUAGUCCACGCCCUAAACGAUGGAUGCUAGUUGUUGGAGGGCUUAGUCUCUCCAGUAAUGCAGCUAACGCAUUAAGCAUCCCGCCUGGGGAGUACGGUCGCAAGAUUAAAACUCAAAGGAAUAGACGGGGACCCGCACAAGCGGUGGAGCAUGUGGUUUAAUUCGAAGAUACACGAAGAACCUUACCUAGGCUUGACAUUGAGAGAAUCCGCUAGAAAUAGUGGAGUGUCUAGCUUGCUAGACCUUGAAAACAGGUGCUGCACGGCUGUCGUCAGCUCGUGUCGUGAGAUGUUGGGUUAAGUCCCGCAACGAGCGCAACCCCCUUUCUUAGUUGCUAACAGGUCAUGCUGAGAACUCUAAGGAUACUGCCUCCGUAAGGAGGAGGAAGGUGGGGACGACGUCAAGUCAUCAUGGCCCUUACGCCUAGGGCUACACACGUGCUACAAUGGGGUGCACAAAGAGAAGCAAUACUGCGAAGUGGAGCCAAUCUUCAAAACACCUCUCAGUUCGGAUUGUAGGCUGCAACUCGCCUGCAUGAAGCUGGAAUCGCUAGUAAUCGCAAAUCAGCCAUGUUGCGGUGAAUACGUUCCCGGGUCUUGUACUCACCGCCCGUCACACCAUGGGAGUUGUGUUUGCCUUAAGUCAGGAUGCUAAAUUGGCUACUGCCCACGGCACACACAGCGACUGGGGUGAAGUCGUAACAAGGUAACCGUAGGUGAACCUGCGGUUGGAUCACCUCCUUU
Molecule: ribosomal RNA, 1504 nt
Filed under: Helicobacter pylori
Lineage: Bacteria; Pseudomonadati; Campylobacterota; Epsilonproteobacteria; Campylobacterales; Helicobacteraceae
Description: bacterial SSU rRNA
Rfam family: Bacterial small subunit ribosomal RNA
Source: RNAcentral